This is a long non-coding RNA of Vicia villosa (hairy vetch), 1195 nucleotides long. RefSeq lists it as uncharacterized. The record is from RefSeq and is a predicted model, not a curated record. The transcript has 4 exons. Lineage: Eukaryota; Viridiplantae; Streptophyta; Magnoliopsida; Fabales; Fabaceae.
ACGGAGACACUCCUCUAGUGUCGUAAAUCAACCAAUCACAAGCGGGCUCUUCUCCGUUAUCUCGCAUCGAUUCUGCUUUCAAUCCAUUCUCUCCGUUUUCGUCUCAAAUAUUUCCCGUCUCCGACUUUCACCCUCACGUACCUCCGACUUCAAGCCUCCUUCUCAACUAUAUCUAACAAUGAUCCCCACGACACGAUGACACCAAGAACGCACAAUAAUCUGAAAAUGGAUCCAUAAUGUUGCUGCAGUUGAUGACGAAUAUUGAGUGAAGGUUGGGAUGAUGAUGAUGAUUGGAGAAAAUGCUCAAUAGGAGAGAAGCUGAGGGUAUGAGGAGAUGAAGAUGGCAACUGAAGGGGAAGGGUCAAGAUGGAUCAAGUGGAAGCAAUGGUGAAGAAGAUGGUGAAGAUUGAAGCAUAAGGUCCAGAGAAUGGAAUGUGUGUGUUGAUUGAAAGUGAGAAAAUGGAGAAUCCAAGGAGUGAGUGAAGGUUCUGGUUGCCAAUAUAUAGAGGUUGGAAGGGAUGGUCUCAACUAUCAGGAUUGUUUGAACUAUGAACAUGAUGCUGACUGGCGCAGUAUAACUUGAAUACAUUGAUAGGGCUUUGGCACUGGCAGCACGAAGUACAUGGCUUGGAUGCACUUUAUAGCAGUUGAAUUGACACAAAGUUGAAGAUGAUGGAUAAAUGUUGGGUCUAUAAAUUUGUAGUACCAUGGCUGUCAGCAGAACUGAAUUCAAAACUUGGCAAGAAUAUCAAUGUAUGGUCUGAGUAUUUGAAUGCGAGAUGGUUUUAAAUUUGUAUUGAUGGCGGGAUUUGAAUAGAUUGAACUGUCUGCAUAGAACUGUUUUUUUUUCUUUGUGACGUUGUUGUUUCUUUUCGUGUGGAGUUCAGGAGCGGUUUGGUCGUUUUCUGCUGCAGGCACAUUAUUUGGUAGAAGUUGUUUUUGAGGGUUGAAUUAUUAUGUGGUUUAUUUGUAACUGUUAUAAGUUGUAGUGUUAGAAACUGUUAGUAGAUAUUUAUUUGGUAAGGGAAUAACUCAUGGAGGAUUUUUAGAAAUAGGCUUGGAAACUUGUGUAAUUUUCAAUGUGCUGAAAUUCUUUUGUAGACUUUAAUGUGCAUCGGUUAUUUGGUAGGACAAAGCAUUUGGCAAGAUGAAGUCUAGACAUGGCUUGAAUUUAUAUAGUAUUGGUAAAAAAAGU